Molecule: ribosomal RNA, 827 nt
Filed under: Leuconostoc mesenteroides
Lineage: Bacteria; Bacillati; Bacillota; Bacilli; Lactobacillales; Lactobacillaceae
Description: bacterial SSU rRNA
Rfam family: Bacterial small subunit ribosomal RNA
Source: RNAcentral
AUAAUGCAGUCGAACGCACAGCGAAAGGUGCUUGCACCUUUCAAGUGAGUGGCGAACGGGUGAGUAACACGUGGACAACCUGCCUCAAGGCUGGGGAUAACAUUUGGAAACAGAUGCUAAUACCGAAUAAAACUUAGUGUCGCAUGACACAAAGUUAAAAGGCGCUUCGGCGUCACCUAGAGAUGGAUCCGCGGUGCAUUAGUUAGUUGGUGGGGUAAAGGCCUACCAAGACAAUGAUGCAUAGCCGAGUUGAGAGACUGAUCGGCCACAUUGGGACUGAGACACGGCCCAAACUCCUACGGGAGGCUGCAGUAGGGAAUCUUCCACAAUGGGCGAAAGCCUGAUGGAGCAACGCCGCGUGUGUGAUGAAGGCUUUCGGGUCGUAAAGCACUGUUGUAUGGGAAGAACAGCUAGAAUAGGAAAUGAUUUUAGUUUGACGGUACCAUACCAGAAAGGGACGGCUAAAUACGUGCCAGCAGCCGCGGUAAUACGUAUGUCCCGAGCGUUAUCCGGAUUUAUUGGGCGUAAAGCGAGCGCAGACGGUUUAUUAAGUCUGAUGUGAAAGCCCGGAGCUCAACUCCGGAAUGGCAUUGGAAACUGGUUAACUUGAGUGCAGUAGAGGUAAGUGGAACUCCAUGUGUAGCGGUGGAAUGCGUAGAUAUAUGGAAGAACACCAGUGGCGAAGGCGGCUUACUGGACUGCAACUGACGUUGAGGCUCGAAAGUGUGGGUAGCAAACAGGAUUAGAUACCCUGGUAGUCCACACCGUAAACGAUGAACACUAGGUGUUAGGAGGUUUCCGCCUCUCAGUGCCGAAGCUAACGCAUU